GGUUACUUUAGGUUGAGUUCUGCUAUGUUUGCAUCCAUGCCCGUCUUCCUUUAGUAAUUCUAGUUAGUUCAAUUAUUAUUGUUAGAUCUGCCUGGUUUCUGCUUAGGUUUGUUUGUUUUUCCCUCAUGUCUUUUUCUCUUCUAGUUGAUCAGGUUUUCUUUAUUUUUAGAAGUGUUUCCAUCUCCCUGUUUUCCAUAGUGUUUCUCCUUUGCUUCCUGCCAUCUUCUCCCCGCCCCUCAGCCUCCUGUGAUACUCACACCUGCAACCAAUCAUCUCAUCUCGUUAGGUCCAUUGCUCCAUUUGCCUCCUCCCAGUAUUUCAGCUCCUCUGUCCCAGUCACAACUGGCCAGUCUGUCUCAUCACGUCCCUUAUGCUCCUUAGGAUCUCCUCAGUUUUGGAUUUACUCUGGAUUGUGUUCCCCUUGGAUGUUCAUGUUUUGUGGCGUGAGUUUGUCCCAAAGCUGUAGAUGAGAUGCACAGCCACAUCGCUGCAACUUGACAUUCCCUGAAGCCCUCCAUGUGAGUGUCAGUCUGUAUGCGCUGUGCAGAUUCACUGACUGAUGUCGUGACGGAUGUCAGAGGAUCCACGUCUCGCUGCCCAGGAGAAAUAUAACCCGAGUCCAACAGGACGGGUAAAGAUCUGAUGUGUGGAGAAUCGCGGUCGACCGGCUGAGAUUAGAUUUGGUGGCGGAUUUGCUGCUGUUUGCAGGUGUGCACCUGCUCCAGUCCACUGGUAAUUCUCACCUGGAUGAAAACUUCCUCUUCUCCAACUUCUGCAACAGCCUGACAGCUAAAAAAAAAAAAGUAUUGACAGUUAUUUUUAUUGAUUACUUUAAGGAAAAGCUGCUAAACUAAGUUUUCUUUGUUUAUUCAUUACUUUGUAGGCUUUACCACAUAAACUACUGAAAUUAAUUAAAACAGUUUUCAACUGUGCAUUGUGGGAUUAAUAGUUCUUAUGCCAGCUUCCUGUAGUUCAGUCUGUCAUGGCUGGAGGCAACAAAAUUAAUCACAUUACUUAGAAAAUAUACGUCUAGGUGGCAUAGAAGCUGCAUUUCCUUUACAAAUAUGGGAAAAACUUUAUUGGUACUCCGCUAAUGUAAAAUUAAUUAAUUCAAUAUGAAUAUAAUUACGCAUCCAAUCAGUUUGUUUCUUCGUCUUUUCAGUUGCUGAUCAUGUAACACAUGUAAUGCAAAGUGUUUUAUGAAAUACUCUGAUCUUGACACAACCCAAAAACCUCAUCCUAUUGCAAAAAGUUUUUUUUAAUUUUUUUUUUUAUCAAAGUUGAGUAAAAAUUAAAGAAAUGUAUUUUCUUAAUUCCAAUUUGCGCAUUUAUAUUGUCAAUAAACAGCA
Molecule: long non-coding RNA, 1349 nt
Organism: Poecilia latipinna (sailfin molly)
Lineage: Eukaryota; Metazoa; Chordata; Actinopteri; Cyprinodontiformes; Poeciliidae
Exons: 3
Source: RefSeq, a predicted model, not a curated record